This 922-nucleotide ribosomal RNA is filed under the name uncultured Cortinarius. RNAcentral describes it as "eukaryotic LSU rRNA". It matches the Rfam family "Eukaryotic large subunit ribosomal RNA", at positions 36 to 944 of the family's 3401-position model. Lineage: Eukaryota; Fungi; Basidiomycota; Agaricomycetes; Agaricales; Cortinariaceae. The record is from RNAcentral.
UAGCAUAUCAAUAAGCGGAGGAAAAGAAACUAACAAGGAUUCCCCUAGUAACUGCGAGUGAAGCGGGAAAAGCUCAAAUUUAAAAUCUGGCAGUCUUUGGCUGUCCGAGUUGUAAUCUAGAGAAGUGUUAUCCGCGCUGGACCGUGUACAAGUCUCCUGGAAUGGAGCGUCAUAGAGGGUGAGAAUCCCGUCUUUGACACGGACUACCAGGGCUUUGUGAUGCGCUCUCAAAGAGUCGAGUUGUUUGGGAAUGCAGCUCAAAAUGGGUGGUAAAUUCCAUCUAAAGCUAAAUAUUGGCGAGAGACCGAUAGCGAACAAGUACCGUGAGGGAAAGAUGAAAAGAACUUUGGAAAGAGAGUUAAACAGUACGUGAAAUUGCUGAAAGGGAAACGCUUGAAGUCAGUCGCGUCGUCCAGGGAUCAACCUUGCUUUUGCUUGGUGCACUUUCUGGUUGACGGGUCAGCAUCAAUUUUGACCAUUGGAAAAAUAUCAAGGGAAUGUGACAUCUUUGGAUGUGUUAUAGCCCUUGGUUGUAUACGAUGGUUGGGAUUGAGGAACUCAGCACGCCGCAAGGCCGGGUUUUUAACCACGUACGUGCUUAGGAUGCUGGCAUAAUGGCUUUAAUCGACCCGUCUUGAAACACGGACCAAGGAGUCUAACAUGCCUGCGAGUGUUUGGGUGGAAAACUCGAGCGCGUAAUGAAAGUGAAAGUUGAGAUCCCUGUCGUGGGGAGCAUCGACGCCCGGACCAGACCUUUUGUGACGGUUCCGCGGUAGAGCAUGUAUGUUGGGACCCGAAAGAUGGUGAACUAUGCCUGAAUAGGGUGAAGCCAGAGGAAACUCUGGUGGAGGCUCGUAGCGAUUCUGACGUGCAAAUCGAUCGUCAAAUUUGGGUAUAGGGGCGAAAGACUAAUCGAACCAUC